RNAcentral lists this ribosomal RNA (254 nucleotides) under uncultured bacterium. RNAcentral's name for it is "partial 16S ribosomal RNA". It matches the Rfam family "Bacterial small subunit ribosomal RNA", at positions 524 to 776 of the family's 1533-position model. The record is from RNAcentral.
UACGAAGGGGGCUAGCGUUGCUCGGAAUGACUGGGCGUAAAGGGCGCGUAGGCGGACGGCUUUGUCGGGCGUGAAAUUCCAGGGCUUAACCUUGGGGCUGCGUUCGAGACGGGUUGUCUAGAGUUUGGAAGAGGGUCGUGGAAUUCCCAGUGUAGAGGUGAAAUUCGUAGAUAUUGGGAAGAACACCGGUGGCGAAGGCGGCGACCUGGUCCUUGACUGACGCUGAGGCGCGAAAGCGUGGGGGAGCGAACAGG